CCCAAAGACCCAACCCACGCAGCCGGUCAACCCACAAGCCGACCCACUACUAGCCCACACCCCAUGACCACGCCCAUGCGGUCACAAGACACUGACAGGCGGACAGCUUAUGCCUCACAACCUCACUCUCAUAGCCCCACAUGGUCACACUAACACCCCCGCCCAGAACCCAGAUCGGCAGAUCCUCAGCACUGCAACACGGAAGCGGCGCUGCUGCUGCACUCACAGCCUCACUCUCACAGCCGACAGCCCCACACGAUCACAACCCCCCCGGUCUAGAACCCAGAUCGGCAGAUCCUUAGCACUACAGCACAGAAGCGGUGAUGCCGCUGCGACAACCUAGCCCUACACCUACAGUCAAACACUCGCUAGCCUCGUCUCGGCCACGACCCAUCGCUGGGAACCUUCAGAGUUCAGCCUUCAGCCUCGCCGGUCCUUACAGUGUAGAAUCAACAUUGCCAAGGAAGAUGAAAUCAAGAAAUUACCGAAGUGCCGAAUGUCGACCGACGACAUCACGCCGACUGCCGAACCACAGAACAAGGUUUUUACUAUUUCUCGAGGGCUGGUCUAAAUGGCAGGAAGUUCAAGCAGUGUUCCGAUGACUGUGUUGUUGUACAUAGAGGGGAAUUAUCACAAGAGUAGAAGAUGUUAGUUAUAGUACUAAGCAUGUUCGAGCAAUUCGAAUUGGCAAGAGGGCAAAAUUAAACAAAUUGUAUGUGAAGAUAUACAGAUAUUUGCAUAUUGAUCCAAACCAAUAUGCAUUGCGGGUGACUGCAAGAUACCCUUUGCGGGGUUAAAUGAUACAUUACUCUAUAAGAUUAUUAUAAUAGAUGACUAUGGUUUGCGUA
Malania oleifera is the source of this 848-nucleotide long non-coding RNA. RefSeq lists it as uncharacterized. The record is from RefSeq and is a predicted model, not a curated record. Lineage: Eukaryota; Viridiplantae; Streptophyta; Magnoliopsida; Santalales; Ximeniaceae. The transcript has 2 exons.